CACAGGGUGUAGUGGUUUGAGUGUUGGACUAUAACUCUUGAGACCAGGGUUCAAAUCCCUGCUCAGCCA
This 69-nucleotide transfer RNA is filed under the name Phrynosoma platyrhinos (Desert horned lizard). RNAcentral describes it as "tRNA-OTHER". Lineage: Eukaryota; Metazoa; Chordata; Lepidosauria; Squamata; Phrynosomatidae. The record is from RNAcentral.